GGGCAUUUGGUCUAGGGGUAUGAUAUCUGCUUCGCACUUAGAUACACGCUAUCUAAACAUAUAGUGUCUGCAGAGGGUCCUGGGUUCAAUUCCCAGAAUGUCCA
Non-coding RNA from Whalleya microplaca, 104 nucleotides. The record is from the annotation of a GenBank genome assembly. NCBI's taxonomy places the organism in Eukaryota, Fungi, Ascomycota, Sordariomycetes, Xylariales, Xylariaceae.